UGUAUACUGAAAAUGAAAAGUUAGCCUUGUUAAUCUUGUCUAAACCUUAAAUUUUUAAGAUAACUUCUAUUUAUCAUUACUUUUUACUAAUACUAAUUAAUACAAAAAUUUGUUUGGAGUUAGUCUCUACGGGAGAGUCAUUAUUGAAAAUAAAUUUGCAAUCAGUUGACAAAGUGACUUAAAUCUACAAUAUCUUUUUAGGUAUCAUAUGGUCAAGAACAGAGAAUAAAAAAGAGGAGAUUUUCCUCCGACUUCACUCAUUGAUUCUUCUCCUAUAUGAAGUCAUCUAAAAAGAAAAAAACAUGUCUUCUGAAGAAUGCGAUUUUGACUACAGAAAAAAAAAGUUCAAAGAAACGAGGUCCUAAACCCAAAACUACAGAGGCCUGUGAAUCUAAAAAGAUGAAGUAUGAUCUCAACCUAACACAGAACAAAAGUAAGGCGAUAAAAAUCCCUGAUUUUAAAGUUAAAAUUAAUGAAACAGAAACAAUAGACAAAAGUUUCAGACAAAAGGUGACAGCAUUAACUUAAUAGUUGUUCUGCAUGUGGGAUAUUUGUUUUGAUAUAUUUGAGUACUUGAUUAUUUAUAUGGUAUUUUACUUUAAAAAUAAUUAUCUGCUAUAAUUAUCUUAUAAUAAUGGUGUUUUUUCAUUUACUGCUUUAUGAUGAUUGGAAUCUUCAAACAUAAUAGAGGAAAUGUAGUUAAAAUCUGGGGGGGGGAAAUAAUUUCAUAAUUUAGUCUUAUUAUUUUUAUUUUAAGAUGAUGGGUUAUACAUAUACAGCAACAGCACAAAAUUCUGAUAGUAUUAUGGCUGACUGUGAAAUUCCAAAAAGGCCAUUAAAAUUCCAUCUGAUGCUGGACCAAUGACCUCACUAUUAAGAGAAAAUAAUAAUAGUAAACAAAUUAUCAAUAAUAAUCAAUUACAUCUGCUUAUUAACAUUUAAUUUUGUUAGUUUGAAAACCUACUUCAUUGAUACUGAUCAUUUCACAAAUAUCUAAAGAUAAUAAUUGAAUUUACUUAAAUGAAAAAAGAAUAUUUUUUAUACACUUAAGUAAAACUUUAUUAAAAUCCUAAA
Long non-coding RNA from Centruroides sculpturatus (bark scorpion), 1074 nucleotides. RefSeq lists it as uncharacterized. The transcript is spliced from 3 exons. NCBI's taxonomy places the organism in Eukaryota, Metazoa, Arthropoda, Arachnida, Scorpiones, Buthidae. The record is from RefSeq and is a predicted model, not a curated record.